RNAcentral lists this non-coding RNA (148 nucleotides) under Homo sapiens (human). The record is from Rfam by way of RNAcentral. Lineage: Eukaryota; Metazoa; Chordata; Mammalia; Primates; Hominidae.
GCCGGGCGUAGUGGCGUGCGCCUGUAGUCCCAGCUACUCCGGAGGCUGAGGCAGGAGAAUCGCUUGAACUCGGGAAGCGGAGGUUGCGGUGACCUGAGAUCGCGCCACUGCACUCCCGCCUGGGCGACAGAGCGAUACACCGUCUCAA